This 65-nucleotide transfer RNA is filed under the name Lipingzhangella halophila. RNAcentral's name for it is "tRNA-Val". The record is from RNAcentral. Lineage: Bacteria; Bacillati; Actinomycetota; Actinomycetes; Streptosporangiales; Nocardiopsidaceae.
ACAGAAACGGCUUGACUGCCUUGACACGGUAGAGGUCACUGGUUCGAGUCCAGUAUCGCCCACCA